UUACUUGUUGUAACUAUGUAAUCACGAACGAAUAUUGAGCUUGACUGUCCUAAAUUGUCAGCAAUGGGUUCGUACUACUUUAAAAACUCCAGAAAGAAAAUUUACAGUUUUAGUUAUUAGAGUAAUGCUUGUUCUUUCCAGGCACUGUUCAACCAUUUCAAAACGUCCUAGCGACUCUGUACUUUUCAAAACAUUUUUCAUCAGAUCGGAUGAUACGAAACGGAACGAAAUAUUUGUUAAGCUUUUGACAGCAUCAUUCAUUUCUUCCUCAAGUGCAGAUAAUUUUAAACCAAUUUUGUUCACUUCCAAUAGACAGUGUUGGUCAGAUCCGCCUCUUAUAGUACCAAAGAGCAAUCGUUCCCAAUUAUU
RNAcentral lists this long non-coding RNA (369 nucleotides) under Mytilus galloprovincialis (Mediterranean mussel). The record is from RNAcentral. Lineage: Eukaryota; Metazoa; Mollusca; Bivalvia; Mytilida; Mytilidae.